GACGAACGCUGGCGGCGUGCUUAACACAUGCAAGUCGAACGGAAAGGCCCUGCUUUUGUGGGGUGCUCGAGUGGCGAACGGGUGAGUAACACGUGAGUAACCUGCCCUUGACUUUGGGAUAACUUCAGGAAACUGGGGCUAAUACCGGAUAGGAGCUCCUGCUGCAUGGUGGGGGUUGGAAAGUUUCGGCGGUUGGGGAUGGACUCGCGGCUUAUCAGCUUGUUGGUGGGGUAGUGGCUUACCAAGGCUUUGACGGGUAGCCGGCCUGAGAGGGGGACCGGCCACAUUGCGACGGAGCUACGGCGAAGACGCCUACGGGAGGAAGCAGUGGGGAAUAUUGCACAAUGGGCGGAAGCCUGAUGCAGCAACGCCGCGUGCGGGGUGACGGCCUUCGGGUGGUAAACCGCUUUCGCCGGUGACGAAGCGUGAGUGACGGUAAUGGGUAAAGAAGCACCGGCUAACUACGUG
This 468-nucleotide ribosomal RNA is filed under the name uncultured bacterium. Its description in RNAcentral is "partial 16S ribosomal RNA". It matches the Rfam family "Bacterial small subunit ribosomal RNA", at positions 28 to 507 of the family's 1533-position model. The record is from RNAcentral.